RNAcentral lists this ribosomal RNA (253 nucleotides) under uncultured bacterium. RNAcentral's name for it is "partial 16S ribosomal RNA". It matches the Rfam family "Bacterial small subunit ribosomal RNA", at positions 524 to 776 of the family's 1533-position model. The record is from RNAcentral.
UACGGAGGAUCCAAGCGUUAUCCGGAUUUAUUGGGUUUAAAGGGUGCGUAGGCGGCCAACUAAGUCAGACGUGAAAUCCCUCGGCUUAACCGGGGAACUGCGUCUGAUACUGGAUGGCUGGAGUUUGGGAGAGGGAUGCGGAAUUCCAGGUGUAGCGGUGAAAUGCGUAGAUAUCUGGAGGAACACCGGUGGCGAAGGCGGCGUUCUGGACUGUCUCUGACACUGAAGAACGAAAGCCAGGGGAGCAAACGGG